Non-coding RNA from Callithrix jacchus (white-tufted-ear marmoset), 6709 nucleotides. NCBI's taxonomy places the organism in Eukaryota, Metazoa, Chordata, Mammalia, Primates, Cebidae. The record is from RefSeq and is a predicted model, not a curated record.
CUGCCUGUAGGGUUCUGAUUUCCAGCUUUGGGGCGCUCACACCCGCCGCUGUGGAGCAGGAAUUCCGAGUCCUGGCUGGAGCGCGAUCUGGAAUCUGACUCGCUUGAAUUCUGACUCGGUGGAUUCGGAUCCGGCUCCAUUCACAAUAACGAAGAUGGAAUCAGCCCAAGUGUUCAUCAGCAGAUGAAUAGUAAAGAAAAUGUGUUAUGUAUACACAGCGGAAAGCUAUGCAGCCUUAAACAUGAAAUCCUGGCAUUCUGCAACAUGGACGGAAGUGAAGGGUUGGAGCAUGGAGAGAGACAGGCUGCCACUGAUUCUCUGAAUUCCAGCGUCCAUUGCCAGUCACACAGCUGAAAGCAGGAAGAAACUUUCUUUUCUGCACUUGGAACAAUAGGAUAAAUAUGUCCGAGAGUCCCACAUCUACCACGGAAAAGACAAAGGUCCCUUUCAUUCCUUGAAUCGUGCCCAUUUUUCUAAUUACAUGUGUUUUCCUGCAACACGUAACUCUAUCUCCUCCCUUCAAACACCAAUUAUCACAGUACAAACAACAACAGCACAAAGGAGUUACUGCUGAGCCUGAAACUCUGAUGGAAGCUCUGAGUUGAGACUUUGUUUUAUACUUAGGUAUUUGUGAGUCAUUGCAGAGUUUUGCCUGACUCCACCAUGACUCAGUUUGAUCAAGGUCUAUAUGCUACGGGACCUCUCUAGUUCCUCAUCAGAAAUUACAGUGAAUGCCAUGUCCAGCUCCUGGGGUGCCUGAUGACAAUGAGCGGCAGCUCCUCUUAAAUUUUACUCUGCUUGUCGGGCAGCACUUUGAGGGUAACCAAGGCCUCAUAGACUUCAUUACUGCUGGGCCACAUGGCCCAAGGCUCCUGGACACAAUGAAUCCAUGGUCUUGGAUUCACCUCUGACGUUUAAUGACAUUUGCUUUCGGGCUUUCACAAGUGGUCUUUGGUUGAGAUGGAAGGAAAAGAUGCAGGGUCGCAAAACUUCUCACUGACCAGGGACCACCCCCCCGCUCACUUUCACUCAGCAACUACAUGGCCAUUUCACAAAAUUCCUGAGAACAUGGCCAACAGAAACAACACAGGGAAGUGCCUUACCCAGAGUUCCAUGGAAGGCUGGCUGGAGCCCUUUCGACCACUUACCUAAGCCUGUUGGGAUUUCUCUAGCAUGAAAUGCUCCAGAGGCAGUCAUACCAUAAGCUUGAAUUCUCCAACUCAUUGAGUGGAAAGGUCGUAGCCCUGGCUAAAUGAGCACUGAAUUCUAGAAAGACCAAAGGACCCUCUAAGUUCUGAAUCCUGAGUCCUGAAUCCUGGAAGUUGGCUUCUGAGCAGGAAGCAGGUGUCACUGACUCUGAUCCACAAAAGCAGCCCACGGCUCAAGUUGCUCUCCUGGCAAAUCUUCACUGCUUUGUUAGCCCAUCCAUUUACUCAACCAGAUUUUACAAAUAAGUAUGUUUUCCUCCUUUUCUCAUUGUACUCACUGGAAGGAAUGGUCUAAAUAACCUAAUCAGCAAUUCCAGGAAACCAAGACACCGUGUAUAUACAAUCUUUUUUUGAGACAGAAUCUCACUCUUGUUACCCAAGCUGUAGUGCAAUGGCACGAUCUUGGCUCACUACAACCUCCAUCUCCUGGGUUCAAGCGACUCUCCUGCCUCAGCCUCCCGAGUAUCUGGGAUUACAGGUACAUGCCACCGGCUAAUUUUUUGUAUUUUUAGUGGAGAUGGAGUUUCACUAUGUUGGCCUGGCUGGUUGCGAACUCCUGACCUCAGGCAAUCCACCCACCUCGGCCUCCCAAAGAGAUGGGACUACAGGCGUGAGCCAUCGUGCCCAGCCACAUGUAUAUACAAUCUUAUAUGUUAAUGUUGCAUACGAGAAAGAAAAUGCAGACGUACCAGUAGUGGCCACCUAAGCAAUGUAACAUAGAGGUAAUAAAAAUAAAUAGUUGGGUAGCAUCUAUCUGUGCCAUGAUUAAAAUACAUAUCAAUAAAUUAUAACUUCUAAGAGAAUAAUCUCUAAAUUAUAACUUGUAAGGUAAUAAUCUCUACGCAAUAUAUGACUAUGAUGCUGAUAGACAAACCUUGGAGAACCGUCUGAAGACACUUCUCAUCACCUUCACCUCAUGAGCAGAUAGUGUGAAAUGAGAAGCAGAGAUGUGAAAUGUGUGGCAAGCCUCUCUGCAAAGCAGUAGAGUAACAUUCUACAUGAGCAAAUCAAAGCAAUCUCCUCACAAAUGACACUGGAUGUAUGGUUUGGGAUGUGUGUCCUUAACUAUAAUGGAGUCAAUGCUUUAAGUAGGUCAUCUUUUUACAUGAACAGGAUUCUAAAUGACUUAUUAGCUGUCAAUUAGACAGAAGUUCUUCUCAUUGCUAAAAGGGAGACCCUGCCAUGAACCAGAAUUUCGCAGGUGGAGGUUACUUGCAGACAUCAACUUCUAACAGGGUAAAUGUCCUGUUUUUUCAGUCAGGGGAAACUGACUUUCACAAGUGGUCUCUGGCUGAGGGAUCCCAUCGUGAGUGGGGGAUUUGCCAAGUCACUUCUCCCUGUUCCUGCUGGGUUUGGAGAUGGUGAACCGACAGAAGACACAAACUCUGAGAAGGGACCAGGGUUCUCAGAUGCUGGAACACCUCUCCUCCAUGACCUUCUCUUCUGCUAUGUCUGGGUCCCAUGUCUUGUCAUCCCUUAGGCCUCCUUCUCGCCAAGAACCAGGCCCCCCUUUUUUUUUUCCGGUGGUGGCACAUACCUGUAAUCCCAGCUACUCAGGAGGCUGAGGCUGGAGGAUUGCUUGAACCCGGAAGGUGGAGGUUGCAGUGAGCCGAGAUUGCACCACUGCACUCCAGCCUGGGCAACAAGAGUAAAACUCUGUCUUAAAAAAAAAGAAAAAUUAUGAUAAACAUCCCUUUACGCUGACUCCUGACUUUCUGGUUUCCCUUCAUCUCCACUAACAUCAGGACGUUCCUGAGCAUCAUAAAAGUCCUGCAAUUAUAGCCAUUUAGAACUACUGAAAAAUGCAGGCACUGUCUUCCAAACCAGUAUCUGUUAAAGCUGCAGAGAGUAGUUUUUGGUUUCUUGGGAGACAGGGAGGAUGAAGGGGGCACUCAUGCACAGAACAUCUAUUCCAACAUGCCUGUCUUCAUCAGCCUUUGGUUCCUUCCUAUACAUUAUAUCAAAACAUUUCUCACAUCUAUCCUAUUUAGUUAGACUAUGACUAAGUCAAAUUUAAAAGCAACUCAACAUUUAGAGCCACUCUGAGUGUGGAAAAUCUCAAAUUGUUUUUCCCCUGCUCUCACACUACAACAACUAUCAACACAGCAGACUUCUCUGAUGAAAUGUAGGGAAUUUCUCCAACAAACAAGCUAUCGGUUCUGUGAUGGACAGCAGCUGGGUGUCCUCUAACUCAAUUCUAACACAAUCUCCCUAUAUAUAACAUCACAUCCCAUGGGUUGAGAGCUCAGUCCCUACGACUGUCCCCCUCCCACUCCUGAUGCCGAUCUCAAGCCUCAGGUUAUUUUGCUUGUGUUUCUAACUGACUUGCUAUAAAUCAGGGUUCCCACAACUCACUUCUCAGGUUUGAUUAAUUUGCUAGAAUGGCUCACAGAACUCAGAGAAACACUCACAUACACUUACCAGUUUGUUUUAAAAGGUAUUCUAAAAGAUACAAGUAAAGAGCCACAUUAACAGAUACACAGGGCAAGUUAGAAGGGUCCCCAGUGCAGGAGCUUCUGUCCCAUUGGGUUGGGAUGCACCACCCUCCCUGGCACAUGGCUGAGUUCUUGUUCACCUUCCUCUAAGCCUCCCUGUGUUCAACUAUCCAGAAGCUCUCCAAACUCUGCCCCUUUGGGUUUUGAUGGAAACUAUAUUUUGUAUGCAUGAUUCAUUAGAUCAUUGACUAUCAGCUUAACCUUUAGCCUCUCUCCCUUCCCUGCCAAUGAUAUGAUCCUUAUCUAGAAAAACCUAAAGACUCCACCAAAGAACUAUUAGAUGUGAUAAAUAAAUUCAGUAAAGUUGUAGAAUGUAAAAUCAACAUACAAAAUCACUAUAAUGUCUAUACAUUAGUAAUGAAGUAGCUGAGAAAGAAAUAAGCAAUUCCAUUUACAACAACAGCUAGAAAAAAUACCUAGGAAUGAGUUUAAGCACGGAAGUCAAAGAUCUCUUAAAAAGAAAUCUAUUCAACACUGAUGAAAGGAAGAAGAGGAUGCAAACAAACAGAAAGAUAGUCCAUGCACAUGAAUCAGAGGAAUUAAUAUUAGUAAAAUGACCAUACUUCCCAAAGCAAUCUAGAGAUUCAAGGAACUCUCAAUAAAAAUACCAAUGUUAUUUUUCACAGAAUUAAAAAAAAUAAUUCUAAUAUUCCUGUGGAACCAAAAAAUAAAAAAAGCUGAAAUAGCCAAAACAAUCUUGAGCAAAAAGAACAAAGCCAGAUGCAAAAUAUAUUACAAGGCUAUAAUAACUAAAACAGAAUGGUAUUGGUAUAAAAACAGACAUGUCAAUCAAUGGAACAUAAUAGAGAAUCCAGAAAUAAAUCCAUAUGUUUAUAGCCAACUGACUUUUAACAUAGGUGUCAAGAACAUUUAAAAAUCAAUAUCCAUAUGCAAAAGAAUAAAAUGAGAUCCCUAUCACUAACCCUAUAUAAAAACGAACUCAAGUUGAAUUACAUACUUAAAUGUAAGACCUGAAACUGUAAAACAACUAGAAGACCACCUAGGAGAAACAUUCUAGGACACUGGUCUGGGCAAAGAUUUUAUGGUUAAGACUUCAAAAAUACAGAAAACACAAACAAAAAUAGACAACAGGACUAUAAUAAACUAAAAAGCUUCUGCAUAGUAAAGAAAACAAUCAGCAGAGUGAAGAGACAACCUGUUGAAUGGGAGAAAGUACUUUCAAACCAUUUAUCUGACAAGGGACUUGUAUCUAGAAUAUAUAAGAAACUCAAACAACUCAAGAAUUAAAAAACAAAAUAAUCUCAUUUAAGAGUGAGCAAAGGACAUGAACAGGCAUUUCUCAAAAGAAGACAUACAAAUGGCCAACAGGAAUGUUAAAAAAAAAAAAACUCAACAUCACUAACCAUCAGAGAAAUGCAAAUCAAAACCACAAUGAGAUGUCAUCUUACCCCAGAUAGAAUAGACACAACUUAAAAAGACAAGAACAAAACAAACAAACAAACACAUGCUGAUGAUGUGGAGAAAAGGGAACUCUUACACACUGUUGAUUGGAGUUUAAAUUAGUAAUGCCACUAUAGAAAACAGUAAGGAGAGUUUAAAAAAAUCUAAAUACAGAACCACUACAUUAUCCAGCAAUUUGGGGUGGAGUGGCAAAACCCUGGAGUUCAGGGGUCAGCGUUGGCAGACAUCAGGGCCUGCGGGUGCUUGGGUAGCUGCAGGAGAAUAAAAGAGGCAGAUGCCUGGGUCCUAGAGUAUGGAAGUGAGGGAGGUGCAGAGCUGUCCCCGGAGGGCAGGAAUUAAUAGAAGAAUUCUUGAGACCUCUCGGGAAUAGGGAGAGUUCAAGCCCUCAGGAUCCAGGGCAAGGGGUCAGAAGCUUGGCCAGGCUCAUUGCUGAGCUCUUUGUAAGGCACAAUGAUCUUCAGACUCCAACCUAAGUCAUGCACACAUCCUCCGAGAACAUCGCCUUAGCUCCAGCAGAGAGGCCUGCUCUUUGCCUGUGACCCUGUGGCCCUUGGGCCUGACAUGGUGGCUCCUGCUCUGAAAUGCAAUUUCACAACCGUUCAGCAAGCUGAGUGCUGUGACCCCAGGCCUCAUGGGGCCGGACUCUGAUAUGACAGUAAGGUCCAAGCUCAGAAAGUAUGGCCCUGGAACUAUUACCCUGGGCCCCUUAGCGCCAGGCCUUAGCUAUCUUUUCUUCAAGACCCUAGGGACUUUCUCCUGCUCUACACACACACACACACACACACACACACACACACACCCCUUCUAAAUUGAUGCUUCCCAUUUUUCUCUCCUCCCUGACUCACUCUUCUUCCUUCUUUUUCUUCUUUCUUUCCUCCUCCUCCUUCUCCUUUUUCUGCUCCUUCUCCUCCUCCCUCUCCUCUCAUCUUUCUCCUCCCCCUCCUCUCCUUCUCCUCCUCCUCUUCUUUUUAUAAAGAAAAAGGUUUAAUUGACUCACAGUUCCAGUGUUGGGUAUGAUUCCCUCUUCUCUUAUGAUCCAUUUCUUCUCCCUUCUGCUCCCUGGAACCUCCCUGCUUCCUGGACUGAGGCUGCUCUCCCUGGACCUCAGGGUUGGCGCUCACAGGCUGAUUGCUGGGAUGAGCAGCCUCCACGUGAAGGAGACACCCAGCCUCACUGGAACAGGAAAGAUGACUGGGGAGAGAACACAGGGACGCAGACACAUUCAGAGGCCUUUGCAGAAAGAGAUACCAGAGGCUCCUGAAGUCACAAAGGGGAGGCAUGAAGAAAUCCUGCGUCUCAGUCCCACACAAGGCAACUGUCUCAGGCUACAGAAAACAAGUCAUGAACAAAUUCCGGUCAGUCAUGCAAUGACCACAGCUCCAGUGACCACAGCUCCUAGGACACUCAGGCCAGCAACGAUGCCCAUGAUGGGGAUGGUGAGCUGGGAAGGUGGCUCUGGGAAAGGAGAGAAAUGUGAAGGGCCCUGACCCCAGGUCUCAGCCCUGACCCUGCUGAAGGCUCCAGAAGGGCUCCUGCUUUUUCUGAGAAGCAAUAUGAUCCCUCAUCCCCCUCCUUACCCCAUCU